UUAACGCUGAGGUGUGAUGACGAGGCACUACGGUGCUGAAGUGAUAAAUGCCCUGCUUCCAGGAAAAGCCUCUAAGCAUCAGGUAACACGAAAUCGUACCCCAAACCGACACAGGUGGUCAGGUAGAGAAUACCAAGGCGCUUGAGAGAACUCGGGUGAAGGAACUAGGCAAAAUGGUGCCGUAACUUCGGGAGAAGGCACGCUGAUGUGUAGGUGAAGCCCCUGCGGGCGGAGCUGAAAUCAGUCGAAGAUACCAGCUGGCUGCAACUGUUUAUUAAAAACACAGCACUGUGCAAACACGAAAGUGGACGUAUACGGUGUGACGCCUGCCCGGUGCCGGAAGGUUAAUUGAUGGGGUUAGCGGCAACGCGAAGCUCUUGAUCGAAGCCCCGGUAAACGGCGGCCGUAACUAUAACGGUCCUAAGGUAGCGAAAUUCCUUGUCGGGUAAGUUCCGACCUGCACGAAUGGCGUAAUGAUGGCCAGGCUGUCUCCACCCGAGACUCAGUGAAAUUGAACUCGCUGUGAAGAUGCAGUGUACCCGCGGCAAGACGGAAAGACCCCGUGAACCUUUACUAUAGCUUGACACUGAACACUGGUCCUUGAUGUGUAGGAUAGGUGGGAGGCUUUGAAGCGUGGACGCCAGUCUGCGUGGAGCCAACCUUGAAAUACCACCCUUUAAUGGCUGGUGUUCUAACGUAGACCCGUUACCCGGGUUGCGGACAGUGUCUGGUGGGUAGUUUGACUGGGGCGGUCUCCUCCCAAAGAGUAACGGAGGAGCACGAAGGUUGGCUAAUCCUGGUCGGACAUCAGGAGGUUAGUGCAAUGGCAUAAGCCAGCUUGACUGCGAGCGUGACGGCGCGAGCAGGUGCGAAAGCAGGUCAUAGUGAUCCGGUGGUUCUGAAUGGAAGGGCCAUCGCUCAACGGAUAAAAGGUACUCCGGGGAUAACAGGCUGAUACCGCCCAAGAGUUCAUAUCGACGGCGGUGUUUGGCACCUCGAUGUCGGCUCAUCACAUCCUGGGGCUGAAGUAGGUCCCAAGGGUAUGGCUGUUCGCCAUUUAAAGUGGUACGCGAGCUGGGUUUAGAACGUCGUGAGACAGUUCGGUCCCUAUCUGCCGUGGGCGCUGGAGAAUUGAGGGGGGCUGCUCCUAGUACGAGAGGACCGGAGUGGACGCAUCACUGGUGUUCGGGUUGUCAUGCCAAUGGCACUGCCCGGUAGCUAAAUGCGGAAGAGAUAAGUGCUGAAAGCAUCUAAGCACGAAACUUGCCCCGAGAUGAGUUCUCCCUGAGAC
This 1291-nucleotide ribosomal RNA is filed under the name Enterobacter hormaechei. RNAcentral's name for it is "bacterial LSU rRNA". It matches the Rfam family "Bacterial large subunit ribosomal RNA", at positions 1550 to 2821 of the family's 2925-position model. The record is from RNAcentral. Lineage: Bacteria; Pseudomonadati; Pseudomonadota; Gammaproteobacteria; Enterobacterales; Enterobacteriaceae.